AGCGAACGCUGGCGGCAGGCCUAACACAUGCAAGUCGAACGGAUCCUUCGGGAUUAGUGGCGGACGGGUGAGUAACACGUGGGAACGUGCCCUUUGGUUCGGAACAACUCAGGGAAACUUGAGCUAAUACCGGAUGUGCCCUUCGGGGGAAAGAUUUAUCGCCAUUGGAGCGGCCCGCGUCUGAUUAGCUAGUUGGUGAGGUAAAGGCUCACCAAGGCGACGAUCAGUAGCUGGUCUGAGAGGAUGAUCAGCCACAUUGGGACUGAGACACGGACCAAACACCGACGGGGGGCAGCAGUGGUGAAUCUUGCGCAAUGGGCGAAAGCCUGCCGCAGCCAUGCGGCGUGAAUGAUGAAGGUCUUAGAAUUGUAAAAUUCUUUCACCGGGGCCGAUAAUGACGGUACCCGGAGAAGAAGCCCCGGCUAACUUCGUGCCAGCAGCCGCCGUAA
Molecule: ribosomal RNA, 449 nt
Filed under: uncultured bacterium
Lineage: Bacteria
Description: partial 16S ribosomal RNA
Rfam family: Bacterial small subunit ribosomal RNA
Source: RNAcentral